CCUACGGGGGGCAGCAGUGGGGAAUAUUGCGCAAUGGGCGAAAGCCUGACGCAGCGACGCCGCGUGAGGGAUGAAGGUCUUCGGAUCGGAAACCUCUGUCAGCAGGGAAGAACGGUCACGGUGCUAAUCAGCAGUGAAUUGACGGUACCUGCAAAGGAAGCACAGGCUCACUCCGGGCCAGCAGCCGCGGUAAUACGGAGGGUGCGAGCGUUAAUCGGAAUUACUGGGCGGAAAGCGCACGUAGGCGGUAUGUCAAGUCAAGGGUGAAAUCCCCGCGCUCAACGUGGGAACUGCCUUUGAAACUGGCAACCUUGAGUGUGUGAGAGGAUAGUGGAAUUCCAGGUGUAGUCGU
This 352-nucleotide ribosomal RNA is filed under the name uncultured bacterium. Its description in RNAcentral is "partial 16S ribosomal RNA". It matches the Rfam family "Bacterial small subunit ribosomal RNA", at positions 338 to 682 of the family's 1533-position model. The record is from RNAcentral.